UGGCUCAGGAUGAACGCUAGCGGCAGGCUUAACACAUGCAAGUCGAGGGGCAUCGGGAGUAGCAAUACUUGCCGGCGACCGGCGCAAGGGUGCGUAACGCGUGAGCAACAUGCCCGUAUCAGGGGGGAUAAUCCAUGGAAACGUGGUCUAAUACCCCAUAGUAAUUAUGUAAGGCAUCUUAUAUAAUUUAAAGCUUUGGUGGAUACGGAUUGGCUCGCGUGACAUUAGCUAGAUGGUAAGGUAACGGCUUACCAUGGCUACGAUGUCUAGGGGUUCUGAGAGGAAGGUCCCCCACACUGGAACUGAGACACGGUCCAGACUCCUACGGGAGGCAGCAGUGAGGAAUAUUGGACAAUGGAUGGAAAUCUGAUCCAGCCAUGCCGCGUGCAGGAAGAACCGGCCCUAUGGGUUGUAAACUGCUUUUGUAUGGGAGCAAUAAGGGCUACGCGUAGUCCGAUGAGAGUACCAUACGAAUAAGCACCGGCUAACUCCGUGCCAGCAGCAGC
RNAcentral lists this ribosomal RNA (506 nucleotides) under uncultured bacterium. RNAcentral's name for it is "bacterial SSU rRNA". It matches the Rfam family "Bacterial small subunit ribosomal RNA", at positions 20 to 518 of the family's 1533-position model. The record is from RNAcentral.